AGUGGCUGGCUACGGGGUCAUCCCAGCCGUCCACUGGGUCUGGCUCAAUGGAAGCUUCAGCUCUGCUGUCGUCCAGAUGAGUGAUCAGAUACCUGAAUUACAAUAUUAGUUGUUCCUGCCUCUUGAUGGUGAUGUAUUAGAUAGCUGGAGCUGAGUUCCUCUUUUACAUCGGUCAGAUGAACUACCUGGUUGCCAGCCAGCAGGUGUGACAUGUCCUGGUGGUGUUUAUGCUCUGCUUGUGGCACCAGACUUCUGUGUAUUUAAUGAACUUCAGGCACCACCAGCCCUGCCUCAUAGACUGGCCCAGCCAACAACCGAGCUGCCACAGACUCUACUGUAGCCACUCAAUGCAAACCAGACUACAACUGAACCUUUAACGUAACGUAACAAAAUGUGGAAAAAGUCAAGGGGUCUGAAAACUUUCCGAAUGCACUGUAUAUACUAAAAGGGACAUUUCAAUGU
Long non-coding RNA from Oncorhynchus nerka (sockeye salmon), 462 nucleotides. RefSeq lists it as uncharacterized. The record is from RefSeq and is a predicted model, not a curated record. NCBI's taxonomy places the organism in Eukaryota, Metazoa, Chordata, Actinopteri, Salmoniformes, Salmonidae. The transcript has 3 exons.